AUUGAACGCUGGCGGCAGGCCUAACACAUGCAAGUCGGGCGGUAGCACAAAGGAGCUUGCUCCYYGGGUGACGAGCGGCGGACGGGUGAGUAAUGUCUGGGAAACUGCCUGAUGGAGGGGGAUAACUACUGGAAACGGUAGCUAAUACCGCAUAACGUCGCAAGACCAAAGAGGGGGACCUUCGGGCCUCUUGCCAUCGGAUGUGCCCAGAUGGGAUUAGCUAGUAGGUGGGGUAAAGGCUCACCUAGGCGACGAUCCCUAGCUGGUCUGAGAGGAUGACCAGCCACACUGGAACUGAGACACGGUCCAGACUCCUACGGGAGGCAGCAGUGGGGAAUAUUGCACAAUGGGCGCAAGCCUGAUGCAGCCAUGCCGCGUGUGUGAAGAAGGCCUUCGGGUUGUAAAGCACUUUCAGCGGGGAGGAAGGGAGCAGGCUUAAUACGUCUGUUCA
Molecule: ribosomal RNA, 451 nt
Filed under: Pseudomonas sp. R-24816
Lineage: Bacteria; Pseudomonadati; Pseudomonadota; Gammaproteobacteria; Pseudomonadales; Pseudomonadaceae
Description: bacterial SSU rRNA
Rfam family: Bacterial small subunit ribosomal RNA
Source: RNAcentral